Molecule: ribosomal RNA, 230 nt
Filed under: uncultured Alicycliphilus sp.
Lineage: Bacteria; Pseudomonadati; Pseudomonadota; Betaproteobacteria; Burkholderiales; Comamonadaceae
Description: partial 16S ribosomal RNA
Rfam family: Bacterial small subunit ribosomal RNA
Source: RNAcentral
AGAGAUGCACUGGGUGUAAAGCGUGCGCAGGCGGUUUUGUAAGACAGAGGUGAAAUCCCCGGGCUCAACCUGGGAACUGCCUUUGUGACUGCAAGGCUAGAGUACGGCAGAGGGGGAUGGAAUUCCGCGUGUAGCAGUGAAAUGCGUAGAUAUGCGGAGGAACACCGAUGGCGAAGGCAAUCCCCUGGGCCUGUACUGACGCUCAUGCACGAAAGCGUGGGGAGCAAACA